Molecule: ribosomal RNA, 254 nt
Filed under: uncultured bacterium
Lineage: Bacteria
Description: partial 16S ribosomal RNA
Rfam family: Bacterial small subunit ribosomal RNA
Source: RNAcentral
CACGUAGGAGGCGAGCGUUGUCCGGAAUUACUGGGCGUAAAGGGCGCGUAGGCGGCCAUCUAAGUCAGACGUGAAAUCCCCCGGCUUAACCUGGGAACUGCGUCUGAUACUGGACGGCUCGAGUAUGGGAGAGGGAUGUAGAAUUCCAGGUGUAGCGGUGAAAUGCGUAGAUAUCUGGAGGAAUACCGGUGGCGAAGGCGGCAUCCUGGACCAUUUACUGACGCUGAGGCGCGAAAGCUAGGGGAGCAAACGGG